Molecule: ribosomal RNA, 253 nt
Filed under: uncultured bacterium
Lineage: Bacteria
Description: partial 16S ribosomal RNA
Rfam family: Bacterial small subunit ribosomal RNA
Source: RNAcentral
UACGUAGGGGGCAAGCGUUAUCCGGAUUUACUGGGUGUAAAGGGAGCGUAGACGGCGGUGCAAGCCAGAUGUGAAAGCCCGGGGCUCAACUCCGGGACUGCAUUUGGAACUGUGCUGCUAGAGUGUCGGAGAGGCAGGCGGAAUUCCUAGUGUAGCGGUGAAAUGCGUAGAUAUUAGGAGGAACACCAGUGGCGAAGGCGGCCUGCUGGACGAUGACUGACGUUGAGGCUCGAAAGCGUGGGGAGCAAACAGG